CAGAGUUUGAUCCUGGCUCAGAGCGAACGCUGGCGGCAGGCCUAACACAUGCAAGUCGAGCGGGCGUAGCAAUACGUCAGCGGCAGACGGGAGAGUAACACGUGGGAACGCGCCCUUCGGUUCGGAAUAACUCAGGGAAACUUGAGCUAAUACCGGAUACGCCCUUACGGGGAAAGAUUUAUCGCCGAAGGAACGGCCCGCGUCGGAUUAGCUAGUUGGUGAGGUAACGGCUCACCAAGGCGACGAUCCGUAGCUGGUCUAAGAGGAUGAUCAGCCUCACUGGGACUGAGACACGGCCCAGACUCCUACGGGAGGCAGCAGUGGGGAAUAUUGGACAAUGGGCGCAAGCCCGAUCCAGCCAUGCCGCGUGGAUGAUGAAGGCCUUAGGGUUGUAAAGUCCUUUCAGCGGGGAAGAUAAUGACGGUACCCGCAGAAGAAGCCCCGGCUAACUUCGUGCCAGCAGCCGCGGUAAUA
RNAcentral lists this ribosomal RNA (474 nucleotides) under uncultured bacterium. RNAcentral describes it as "bacterial SSU rRNA". It matches the Rfam family "Bacterial small subunit ribosomal RNA", at positions 8 to 525 of the family's 1533-position model. The record is from RNAcentral.